This 433-nucleotide ribosomal RNA is filed under the name uncultured bacterium. Its description in RNAcentral is "partial 16S ribosomal RNA". It matches the Rfam family "Bacterial small subunit ribosomal RNA", at positions 29 to 507 of the family's 1533-position model. The record is from RNAcentral.
AACGAACGCUGGCGGCAUGCCUAACACAUGCAAGUCGAACGAGACCUUCGGGGCUAGUGGCGCACGGGUGCGUAACGCGUGGGAACCUGCCCUUAGGUUCGGAAUAACUCCCCGAAAGGGGUGCUAAUACCGGAUAAUGUCUUCGGACCAAAGAUUUAUCGCCUUUGGAUGGGCCCGCGUUGGAUUAGCUAGUUGGUAGGGUAAAAGCCUACCAAGGCGACGAUCCAUAGCUGGUCUGAGAGGAUGAUCAGCCACACUGGGACUGAGACACGGCCCAGACUCCUACGGGAGGCAGCAGUGGGGAAUAUUGGACAAUGGGCGAAAGCCUGAUCCAGCCAUGCCGCGUGAGUGAUGAAGGCCUUAGGGUUGUAAAGCUCUUUUACCCGGGAUGAUAAUGACAGUACCGGGAGAAUAAGCUCCGGCUAACUCCGUG